This 231-nucleotide ribosomal RNA is filed under the name unidentified soil organism R6-64. Its description in RNAcentral is "partial 16S ribosomal RNA". It matches the Rfam family "Bacterial small subunit ribosomal RNA", at positions 1264 to 1501 of the family's 1533-position model. The record is from RNAcentral.
UGAGCUAAUNCCAAAAAAGGCCGUNUNAGUUGGGAUUGGAGUCUGCAACUCGACUUCAUGAAGCUGGAAUCGCUAGUAAUCGCAGAUCAGCAACGCUGCGGUGAAUACGUUCCCGGACCUUGCACACACCGCCCGUCAAGCCAUGGAAGUGGGGUGUACCUUAAGNCGAUAACCGUAAGGAAUUGUCCAAGGGAAAACUCGUAACUGGGGCUAAGUCGUAACAAGGUAGCC